UACGUAGGGGCCUAGCGUUGUCCGGAAUUAUUGGGCGUAAAGAGCUCGUAGGCGGUUCGGCAAGUCGGAUGUGAAAUCUCCACGCUCAACGUGGAGGGGCCAUUCGAAACUGCCGUGACUCGAGUCCGGUAGGGGAGUGUGGAAUUCCUGGUGUAGCGGUGAAAUGCGCAGAUAUCAGGAAGAACACCGAUGGCGAAGGCAGCUCUCUGGGACGGUACUGACGCUGAGACGCGAAAGCGUGGGGAGCGAACAGG
RNAcentral lists this ribosomal RNA (254 nucleotides) under uncultured bacterium. RNAcentral describes it as "partial 16S ribosomal RNA". It matches the Rfam family "Bacterial small subunit ribosomal RNA", at positions 524 to 776 of the family's 1533-position model. The record is from RNAcentral.